CCCCGGGUGAUCCGCUCCGCCUCCGCGCCCACCUCCAGCGGGAGGUGGUCCGGCCGACUGGGAUUGUGGGAGGUGUAGUUCGCCGCGAAGUGCGGCGCGCUCCGUCCUCCGCCGCGCGGGGGCAGCGAAAAUGUGGCGGUGGCCUGAACUGUGGAGAGCAGAGUGGAAAUACAUGUUGAAAUAUUUAUGGAUAAAGGGAUAUGAUGUCUGCAAAUUACUCUCCAAUGAUUUAGAAAUAAACACAUGUACAGAGCAAGGGAGAAAGAGAGCAAACAAUAAGCCACAUGGACUGAAAUGUUCGUUGGAGAAAAUGGCAUUUAUUUUUGGUAGUGAGCAAGCACAAGCUGGGAAGGGGC
This is a long non-coding RNA of Leopardus geoffroyi (Geoffroy's cat), 356 nucleotides long. RefSeq lists it as uncharacterized. The record is from RefSeq and is a predicted model, not a curated record. NCBI's taxonomy places the organism in Eukaryota, Metazoa, Chordata, Mammalia, Carnivora, Felidae. The transcript is spliced from 3 exons.